CCACUGGGUAUCGUCUCUUCUCUAAGCUUAUCUCCUCUUCCCAGUGGGAUUCUUGGAUUUGAGCUGCUACUCUGUCGCUGGUUUAGUUCUUGCGAAUCUUUUUGCUCUGCAACAGCUGGGGAUCCCAAAACCGAUUAAUUAUCAUCUGCACAAGUACGGCUCUGCUAAGGAUUUCUUGCCCUGAUUCAAUCAAAAUGCAGGCCCUUCUCUUGGAUUAUUGAGUCUUUUUUUCUUUGUUAUGCAAGACAUUGCCCCUUCAUUUCCCGAUCUUGCCACAGUGAUCAUGAUUUAUCUCAAGAUUCUUGGGUUUCUUGGGCGAUUCAGCC
This 326-nucleotide unclassified non-coding RNA is filed under the name Hevea brasiliensis (rubber tree). The record is from RNAcentral. Lineage: Eukaryota; Viridiplantae; Streptophyta; Magnoliopsida; Malpighiales; Euphorbiaceae.